Molecule: ribosomal RNA, 445 nt
Filed under: uncultured soil bacterium
Lineage: Bacteria
Description: bacterial SSU rRNA
Rfam family: Bacterial small subunit ribosomal RNA
Source: RNAcentral
AGAGCGAACGCUGGCGGCAGGCCUAACACAUGCAAGUCGAACGGACCCUUCGGGGUUAGUGGCGGACGGGUGAGUAACACGUGGGAACGUGCCUUUUGGUUCGGAAUAGCUCCUGGAAACGGGUGGUAAUGCCGAAUGUGCCCUUCGGGGGAAAGAUUUAUCGCCAUUAGAGCGGCCCGCGUCUGAUUAGCUAGUUGGUGAGGUAAUGGCUCACCAAGGCGACGAUCAGUAGCUGGUCUGAGAGGAUGACCAGCCACAUUGGGACUGAGACACGGCCCAAACUCCUACGGGAGGCAGCAGUGGGGAAUCUUGCGCAAUGGGCGAAAGCCUGAUCCAGCAAUGCCGCGUGAGUGAUGAAGGCCUUAGGGUUGUAAAGCUCUUUUACCCGAGAUGAUAAUGACAGUAUCGGAGAAUAAGCCCCGGCAACCUCCGUGCCAGCAGCCGC